Molecule: ribosomal RNA, 398 nt
Filed under: uncultured bacterium
Lineage: Bacteria
Description: partial 16S ribosomal RNA
Rfam family: Bacterial small subunit ribosomal RNA
Source: RNAcentral
AAUAUUGCACAAUGGAGGAAACUCUGAUUCAGCGACGCCGCGUGAACGAUGAAGGCUUUCGGGUCGUGAAGAUCUGUCUUAGGGGACGAGAAUGACGGUACCCUUGGAUGAAGCCCAGGCUAACUACGUGCCCGCAGCGGCGGUAAUACGUAGGGGGCAAGCGUUGUCCGGAUUUAUUGGGCGUAAAGGGUUGGCGGGCGGCCUUUUAAGUCAGAUGUGAAAGACUACAGCUCAACUGUGGUAAGCAUUUGAAAAUGAAAGGCUUGAGUUAAGGAGAGGAAAGUGGAAUUCCUAGUGUAGCGGUGAAAUGCGUAGAUAUUAGGAGGGAUACCAGUGGCGAAGGCGACUUUCUGGACUUAUACUGACGCUGAGGAACGAAAGCGUGGGGAGCAAACAGG